UACGUAGGGUGCAAGCGUUGUCCGGAAUUAUUGGGCGUAAAGAGCUCGUAGGCGGUUUGUCGCGUCUGCUGUGAAAUCCGGAGGCUCAACCUCCGGCCUGCAGUGGGUACGGGCAGACUAGAGUGUGGUAGGGGAGACUGGAAUUCCUGGUGUAGCGGUGGAAUGCGCAGAUAUCAGGAGGAACACCGAUGGCGAAGGCAGGUCUCUGGGCCAUUACUGACACUGAGAAGCGAAAGCAUGGGGAGCGAACAGG
Molecule: ribosomal RNA, 253 nt
Filed under: uncultured bacterium
Lineage: Bacteria
Description: partial 16S ribosomal RNA
Rfam family: Bacterial small subunit ribosomal RNA
Source: RNAcentral